AAAGGGGGUGUGUGAAAAGGGGUGAGUGUGCAAAGGGGGUGUGUGUGCAAAGGGCUGGGUGAGCAGGGAUGGGUGUGCUGGAUGUGUGCAUGGGCUCAGGUGUGCAAGGAUGGGCACGGGGAUGGGUGUACAGGGUCAGGUGUGCAAGGAUGGGUGUGCAGGGAUGAGUGUGCAGGGCUGGGUGUGCAAGGAUGGGUGCACAGAGAUGGGUGUGCUGGAUGUGUGCAUGGGGCCAGGUGUGCAAGGAUGGGCGCACAGGGAUGGGUGUGCAGGGAUGUUUGCAGGGCCAAGUUUGCAAAGAUGGGAGCGCAGGGAUUUGUGUGCAGGGCCAGGUGUGCAAAGAUGAGUGCAAAGGAAUGGUGUGCAGGGCCAGGUGUGCCAGGAUGGGUGGACAGGGAUGGGUGUGCAGGGCCGGGUGUGCAAGGAUGGGUGGACAGGGAUGGGUGUGCAGGGCCGGGUGUGCAAAGAUGAGCAGACAGGGAUUGGUUUGCAGGGUCAGGUGCGCAAAGAUGGGCGCGCAGGGAUUGGUUUGCAGGGAUAGUUGUGCAAGGAUGGACGCACAGGGCCGUGUGUGCAGGGCCGUGUGUGCAAGGACGUGUGUGCACGGGGCCAGGUGUGCAAGAACACACACUCAGCGCCGUUCCCAUGCUGCAGGGAUGCUCACGCAGCACGGAUCCAGCCGCUCCGCAGCCGCCGUCGCGGCGCCGCAGUCCCCAUUUCCCCACCUUUUUCCCCCCCCAACCCCUUUUUAUUUCUUUUUUUUUACCCCCCCAGCUGCUGGGCGCAGGGCAGCCGUGCAGGGAACCCACAAACGAAUGCGACCUGCCCGAAUUCUGCGACGGCAGCUCCCGUUUCUGCCCCCCAAACACCUUCGUGCAGGACGGGCAGCCGUGCGGCGGCGGCGGCAGAUGCUCGGGGGGGGUUUGCAGCACCUACGAGGGGCAAUGCCGGCAGCUGCUGGGCUCAGGUGCCGUCCCCGUCUCCGGCUCCUGCAUGGCGGCUCUGAACGCACGGGGGGAUGAAGGCGGGCACUGCGGGCGGCUCCGCAACGGCUCCUUCGUGCCGUGCGCUGCAGGGUGAGCAGCUCAGCUCUGUCCUGUCCUGCUGUCCUGCCGUCCCCAAGCCUUGUCCUGCUGUCCUCAGCCCUGCCCCUGUCCCCCUGUCCCUUCUGUGCCCAGCCCUGCCCUGCCAUCCCCAUCAUUUCCCUG
This 1208-nucleotide long non-coding RNA is filed under the name Phasianus colchicus (ring-necked pheasant). RNAcentral describes it as "lncRNA (ENSPCLG00000017390.1)". Lineage: Eukaryota; Metazoa; Chordata; Aves; Galliformes; Phasianidae. The record is from RNAcentral.